GGCGAUCAGAUACCGCCCUAGUUCUGACCGUAAACGAUGCCAACUCGCGAUCCGCCGGCGGAGCAUUUCGCCCUGGUGGGGAGCGUCCCGGAAACGAAAGUCUUCCGGUUCCGGGGGAAGUAUGGUUGCAAAGCUGAAACUUAAAGGAAUUGACGGAAGGGCACCACCAGGAGUGGAGCCUGCGGCUUAAUUUGACUCAACGCGAGGAACCUCACCCGGCCCGGACACCGUAAGGAUUGACCGAUCGACAGCUCAUUCAUGAUUCGGUGGUUGGUGGUGCAUGGCCGUUCUUAGUUCGUGGAUUUGAUCUGUCUGCUUUAUUGCGAUAACCGAGCGAGACCCACGCCUGCUAACUAGUCCGUGCAUUGCCAUUGUGCACGCCGACUUCUUAGAGGGAUUCGCGGUGUUCAGCCGUUUGAAAGUGGGCAAUAACAGGUCUGUGAUGCCCUUAGAUGUCCGGGGCUGCACGCGGGCUACACUGGCAAAACCAGCGUGCUUGUCCUGCCUCGAAGGAGGUGGGUAAACCCGGCAAAAUUUGCCGUGAUUGGGAUCGGAGAUUGCAAUUAUUUUCCGUGAACGAGGAAUUCCAAGUAAGUGCGAGUCAUCAGCUCGCGUUGAUUACGUCCCUGCCCUUUGUA
Molecule: ribosomal RNA, 638 nt
Filed under: Radopholus similis
Lineage: Eukaryota; Metazoa; Nematoda; Chromadorea; Rhabditida; Pratylenchidae
Description: SSU rRNA
Rfam family: Eukaryotic small subunit ribosomal RNA
Source: RNAcentral